GACAUGUUAGCAUCUUGGAAGUGUGAUUGAUUGACUUCCAAGAUGCUAAAGUGUCUGG
Molecule: microRNA precursor, 58 nt
Filed under: Monodelphis domestica (gray short-tailed opossum)
Lineage: Eukaryota; Metazoa; Chordata; Mammalia; Didelphimorphia; Didelphidae
Description: microRNA mdo-mir-12313 precursor
Source: miRBase by way of RNAcentral